GCCAGCUUGGGGGGCCUGGGUGCUAGUUUCCUUUGCCCCAAAAGACUUGCUUUGGUCCGGUUUCCUCGCCUCUGUCCCAUCACCACCUCCUCGGACUGGCGGCCGGGAUUCACCAGGCCUUCAGUGUCCUGGCCUGAGGUUCUUUCUUGGGAUCCUUGUAUCAGCAGCUCAGCCUAAACAUCACCACUUCCAAGAAGGCACCCUUGACCACCAGACACAUAGAGGCAGACACGGGCAGAGGGAGAAGCAGGCUUCAUGCAGGGAGCCCGACG
Molecule: long non-coding RNA, 272 nt
Organism: Canis lupus familiaris (dog)
Lineage: Eukaryota; Metazoa; Chordata; Mammalia; Carnivora; Canidae
Exons: 3
Source: RefSeq, a predicted model, not a curated record